UUUUUUAUUUUGGUUUUUAUAGUAGGUUCCUACUCAUCAUAAAGCUUUCUAGGGAUAGAAACUUCCAAUUCAUGUUUCUCUGCAAGAGAUUUUAUCAUAGCUUUUAUGAUAUGAUCGGUAAAGGCCUUGUUUUGGCUAUAAGCGUGUCGAGAGUUUAGCAUGGUUUGCAUCAAGGAAAUGCAUUCAAUAAAGGAGCAACUAUCGUAAUUGAAUUCCUUGAAAUCCAAAG
RNAcentral lists this long non-coding RNA (229 nucleotides) under Hordeum vulgare. Its description in RNAcentral is "long non-coding RNA (HVUL_LNC015717)". The record is from RNAcentral. Lineage: Eukaryota; Viridiplantae; Streptophyta; Magnoliopsida; Poales; Poaceae.